Molecule: non-coding RNA, 96 nt
Organism: Caenorhabditis elegans
Lineage: Eukaryota; Metazoa; Nematoda; Chromadorea; Rhabditida; Rhabditidae
Source: Ensembl
UUUAGGCUUAGGCUUAGGCUUCGGCUUGGACUUAGGCUUAGGUUUAGAUUUAGGCUCAGGCUUUGGCUUAGGCUUAGGCUGACGCUUAGGCUAAGG